GAUGAACGCUGGCGGCGUGCCUAACACAUGCAAGUCGAGCGAAGCGCUUAAAUUAGAUUUCUUCGGAAUGACGAUUUUUGUGACUGAGCGGCGGACGGGUGAGUAACGCGUGGGUAACCUGCCUCAUACAGGGGGAUAACAGUUAGAAAUGACUGCUAAUACCGCAUAAGACCCCAGCUUCGCAUGAAGCGGUGGUAAAAACUCCGGUGGUAUGAGAUGGACCCGCGUCUGAUUAGCUAGUUGGUAAGCUAACGGCUUACCAAGGCGACGAUCAGUAGCCGACCUGAGAGGGUGACCGGCCACAUUGGGACUGAGACACGGCCCAGACUCCUACGGGAGGCAGCAGUGGGGAAUAUUGCACAAUGGGGGAAACCCUGAUGCAGCGACGCCGCGUGAAGGAUGAAGUAUUUCGGUAUGUAAACUUCUAUCAGCAGGGAAGAAAGUGACGGUACCUGACUAAGAAGCCCCGGCUAACUACGUG
Molecule: ribosomal RNA, 481 nt
Filed under: uncultured bacterium
Lineage: Bacteria
Description: partial 16S ribosomal RNA
Rfam family: Bacterial small subunit ribosomal RNA
Source: RNAcentral